Molecule: long non-coding RNA, 1023 nt
Organism: Musa acuminata AAA Group (dessert banana)
Lineage: Eukaryota; Viridiplantae; Streptophyta; Magnoliopsida; Zingiberales; Musaceae
Exons: 4
Source: RefSeq, a predicted model, not a curated record
CUUUUCCUCCCUUUCUUUAUUCUCCGAUAAGAGAAAGUAUGAUCUCUAUUUUUAGCCGUUUCGUCCAAUCUCGCUGUCGCCUUGAGAGCAUUUCCUCCCCGGCGGCUAAUUGAUUUCAGGUCUCGGCUCGAUUUCUAGUGUUUCGAUCAGUAGAGCACGGUUAGAGAAGACCGCCAUGGAUUGGGGAAACGUGAUCGUUGUGUACCCGAUCGAUGUCCUCCACAACUCAGAGUUCUUCAUCCGAUUCACCUUCCCCGGAUCGAUCCUACUCCAAAUGGAAUAGUCGAUUCAAGUGCAACCUCUACUACGAAGGACCAAUUACUUCAUUCUGAUCAUGUUCCUUCCGGCCAUGGGGUUUAUUUCGAAGCCUCUUGCCGUUGUUGUUGCCUUUCUCACAGGUCUAAGCAUCGCAUUCGUAGAUGAAAGUGCUGGAGGUGCAACAACAGCAGAUAUCUAUAAAGAGCAUGUAUGAGUCGAUGACAUGAGAACCGAAUAUGAAGAUGGAAUAAAACUGAUUGUGCUUUAGGCACUUACGAUUUUUAUUUGCUUGUUGUCAACUCCACGAUCUUUCAACAAGUCAAUGGCUGCAACUAUUGUACCACCUGGAUUACAGAGUUAUGCCAUAAAUCAGGCCACAGGCACAACUGCUAAGCACUUUUGAAGUGCAUAGUUACACUCAAGAAAAAGUCUGUCUUGAGCAAAAGAAAGUAUUAAAGCCAGGAAAAAUUUUAGUCAGGCAUUAUUUUCCCUAAACAUGCUAACAUUGACAAAUAACAGUUGGCCACACAUACAUGGUAUGCUGGAGGCCAGCAGCAGAGCUCACUGGUCAAGUUGAAAAUCAAUUAUCUCCCUCUUUUUGAAAGUAAACUUCAAAGGCACAAUUAGUUGUGGAACAGAAUGAUAGACCACAUUUGUUAACUACAUAGAAAAUGUUAGAUAGCAGAGAACCUAUGGAGUUUUAUUUUAUACCUAUGGAAUUGUAUCAUAAAGAGCCUUCCAAAAGAGGUCCCUAUUCUGCUUUUC